AUUGAACGCUGGCGGCAGGCCUAACACAUGCAAGUCGAACGAGUGGCGGACGGGUGAGUAAUGUCUGGGAAACUGCCCGAUGGAGGGGGAUAACUACUGGAACCGGUAGCUAAUACCGCAUACCAUCGGAUGUGCCCAGAUGGGAUUAGCUUGUAGGUGGGGUAACGGCUCACCUAGGCGCCGAUCCCUAGCUGGUCUGAGAGGAUGACCAGCCAAAUUGUAACUGGGACACGGUCCAUAUGCCUACGGGAGGCACAAGUGGGUAAUAUUGCACAAUGGGCGCAAGCCUGAUGCAUCCAUGCCGCGUGUAUUAGGAAGGCCUUCGGGUUGUAAAGUACUUUCAGCGUGGAGGCGUUACUCGCAGAAGAAGCACCGGCUAACUACGUGCCAGCAGCCGCGGUAAUAC
Molecule: ribosomal RNA, 406 nt
Filed under: uncultured bacterium
Lineage: Bacteria
Description: partial 16S ribosomal RNA
Rfam family: Bacterial small subunit ribosomal RNA
Source: RNAcentral